UCUGGGGAGAAUUAAGAAGAUCAGGUUUACUCCCAAAGUGAGCAAUAGGUCAGUCUCGAGACAUUCAAAUGGAGUUGAUGACAUGCUUUCUCUUCCCUUCCACCCAAGAACCAAAUGAAAGGUGGCAACAGCCUUAACAGAAUGUCAGAUGCUGAAUCAGACAGACUUGGCAGAAGCCUUGAAAAAAGUAAAAAAGUGAUAAACAGGCAAAGGCAAAAACACACCCACGUAGUCCAGGUGGAGCUUCACAGAUGUGGUGACAUUUGAGCAAAGAUUUCAAGGAAGUGAGAAACUGACCACGCAGAGGGAGAGUCACUGUGAAGGCCCUGCUGUGGGAACAUGCCUGGCACAUCCAUGGAACAGCACUGAAGCUAUUGUGGGUGGAGUGCAGUGAGUGAGGUCAGAGCAGUGACACAGGAGGUAAGAGAAUACCGAGUGUGUGUGAGCACGUGUAUGGCAGUGUGUGUGUGUGCACGUGUGUGUGUGUGCAUGCACUGUGGUGCAGGAAUGAGGUCAUGCAGAUCCACAGGACAUUGUGAACUGCAGAAGAGUCUUCUGCAUUUGGCAAAAUUGGGGACCACUGGAGAGUUUGUGGCAAGGGAGUGUUACGACGUGACUUAUGUUGUCAAACCUUUGUUCUGGCUGCUGUGUGGGAAACAUGAGUCCAGGUACAAGGAGGAGCACAAGAAGGCCCGCCACGAGGCCAGAAUCCAGGUAGGGAUUAUGAAGGCUCAGCUCAGGAUUGCAAGGGUUGAGAAGUGACCCAAUUAGAUGCAUAUUUUGAUUGCAGAGCCAACAUUCUCAUAUUUUGUUCAUAUUGACUUUAUAUUACUCCAAAUUAUCUGUCUGCUGUGGGCUUCCCUUCUAAAGUGGUGCUCCUAGAGGGCAGGAAUUGUAUUUUAUUAUCUACAUAUUCCACACUUGUGCCUAGCACAAUGUCUGGUCCCCAGCAGAGUUCCAUGUAUCUGUAGGAAUUGAGCCAAAAUCCCUCCUUGUGCCACGUUUUGUCACAUAACAUGCUGUUUCUUUCUGACAUAGAAAUAACUAGAACUAGUAAUGCAUGAACUACACACUAAUACAUUGAUCUUCCCAUGCUAUUUAGAGAAGAAAUGUCACAAAUGACAAAUUUUCUUUCACAGAGCUAAAAUUCUGCAACUCCUUCCUGAGAUUCUUUAUUAAGUUAUCAAGAAAAUGUAAAAUAUCAAAUGGAAUUUGCUGGGAAAAAGCACAUAAAAUUGAAUUUUCUCUGUUAAAAACAGUCUAGUUCUUUGUGAUCUGCCACAUUUCCUUCUUCCCACUUGAUUUCAACAUUUUUCAUCUUUCCUAAAAUAGGCGGAGACCCUAAACUCAUCAUUUCCCCAGUGGCUUCUUGGAGAGAUGCUUUUUACCAAACACCAAGCAGUCCAAACCAAUUUCAACAACAGGGCUAAUUUUUUGUUUCUUUGGCAAAUCACCUUUCUUGAUUGCAGAUUAAACAUCUCAUCCUUCAGUAGAAUCACAUACGAAGUAUCCUACAAAUACUAAGUCAAAAGUUUAAAAAUCCCUACAGUAAGAAUUUGUUGCGUAUCUGCUCAAAGAAUCUUUUUUUAAAAUCUUUAUUAUUAAAUGAAGUACACUCACUAAGUGAAGUAAAGGGAAAACAUAUUAUUCAAAUUUAAAUACUUUUAGGUCAUAUGUGUGUCAUACCAGAGUAGCUCUAGAUGUCAAGAAUGGUCACAAACUAAUGCAGGAUCACCUAACAACAUACAUAAAAUCUAGGUUUUGAGAACCACAAAAAGUUACAACCACACACUCAAUCUUGUCACAUUACUCAGACUAUUAAAUAUGUUUAAUUCAAGGUUACUGGCUGAAUCAAUGACACACGACCAUGUAGAGCUAAUGCAGAAACCAAGAACCCCAAAUCUCUCAGUGACUCAGUGCUACUCUGCAAGGCUCCACUGCACAAUCUGCAAACAGAACCUCUGUAUGGCAACUUCUAGAGCGCUCUGAUCAGCUGCUCACCUCCUUUCCAUUCCCCAUCCUUCCUGCCAGCCUCUUGAAUCAGAAAUCAGCAAGGGAUUCUCUUAAGGACAGUAUUCACUCUUUAUCUUGAGCUAAAUCAUUAAGAGGUGAGUACUCAUUAUUUCUGUACUUUAAUCUCUUUAUUCCCAUUCUGGUUCUUUGUUGCAGUCCAAAAGGAGAUUCAAAUGCCUAAAGAAUUUAGCACUUCUACUUGCAAAGUGCCAAAAGCAAAGCUUAAUUUCCUAACCCCCUCCACACCCUCAGUGAGCAAGAAUAUUCCCCCUCCAAAUGCGCGGAAACAGAUUCGAUCACUGAUAUACACACGCUUCUGGACUGCAAGAAGACUUGGAUGCCUGAAGACUAUCUCUUGGCUGGGCAUGGUGGCUCACAUCUGUAAUCCCGGCACUUUAGUAAACUGAGGAGGAUGGAUCAUGAGGCCAAGAGUUCGAGACCAGCCUGACCAACAUGGAGAAACCCUGUCUCUACUAAAAAUACAAAAUGUUAGCCAGGCAUGGUGGCAUGCACCUGUAGUCUCAGCUAUUCAGGAGGCUGAGGCAAAAGAAUCCCUGGAACCUGGAAGGCAGAGGUUGCAGUGAGCAGAGAUCAUGCCACUGCACUUCAGCCUGGGUGACACAGAGAGACUCUGUCUCAAAAAAAAGAAAUAAAAAGAGUAUCUCUUAAAUUCAUAAUACCCUAUUAAUCGCUUUUCUGAAGAUGCUGCUACUGAAAUUGAGGUUAUUCAAGAAAUAAGUUACCAUAUAUUUUUAAUGUGUGGCCUAGAAAGAGAAAGAGCAGGAACUUGAAGAGAAACAUCUGAAAUUAUUCUGGCAAUACCUGAGGUCAAAUAAAUGGUGGGGGUAGCUUUUGGAGAAAUGAAUGCAAGAUAAAUGAGGAUGUACAGAGGGCGGGGAAAAAUCUUAAGAAGCUCAAACAAAUAUGUCUGUGUUCACAAAACAGCAAGGAUUUUCUCCCACUUUUUUUUUCUUUUUCGCCUGCUAGUCUCCUCUAUUUUCCUGUUCAAUCUCAUCAAGAAGGAGUUCUUGAAGGCUGCGAUGGUCCAGCUAUGGUGAGCUCCCCUUCUACAGAGUCUAUAGGACAACCUGCACCUUUUCUAGCCUGGAAUUUCUUUUCACACUACAUUGUAAGAAAAGCUUCUCUCAUUGGGAAGCCCAAAACAAAGCAUGCCUGAAAUCUAGAGGAUGAAUUUGCUGGACACAACAAACUUGAGAAUAUAUAAGCAUUGACUUUUGUGUCUUUCUUUCACAAUCUGAGAAGUCUCAGGCAGCAAGAUACCUCCAUUUUCCAGUCUGCCAACCAGCUCAGACUCCUCGCACGGAAUCACAGAGCAGCACCACAUAAGUCGGGGUCCUGGAAAUGCCUCCUGCAGUACAGUGACUAUGGAUUUCACAGCUUUCUUAACUAAGGCUUCCCUGGGAAGCCUCUGAAUGGCCAAAGUAAAUAACUUCUUUGUAAAUACAUUAUUUUUAACCUCCAGAGAAGAAAGCUACUUUCCUUGCUAAUUUUACAACAACCUCUGUCUCUGACUGUCAGGUUCACACUGUUUCUUGUCAAUUUUACACAACAGUCUGUUUUUGUGUGUGUUUUCCCUUAAAAUCAGAAACACAAAGAAUUAAGAAUAGCAAUGGUGCAAUUACAGAAUGAAAAUAUGCUGAAUACAUUUUGUUUCCAUGUGGCGAAUAUUUCUCCUUUGGGGAAAACAAAACAAAAUUCCACUACCUAACACAUUUAUUUAUAAUUCAGUUCUCAAGCAGCAACUCGGUAACUUGAUAGCUACAACUCUUGCUGCAUUCUUGGUAGAGAAUGUCUUUUCAACUCAAUUCCUUUUUGGUUGACAGUUUUAAUCACAUACAUUUAAUUGGACCAAUAUACAACUCAGAGCAUCCUUGUUCAGAAAGAUUGGGAAUGCAGAGUGAAAAAAUAUACAAGAAAGAGACGCCUAUUAAUUUUCAUGCUUUUUGGUUGAAGCAAGUGGGGAAGGAAGCCUAAAUGUCCCAUUUCUAAAUCUACUCACAAACUAUUCCUACCAGUCACCCACAUGAAUAGUCAGUCCACAUGAAUCUAGCCAGCAGGUGUUAAUAAGAACAGGACUCAAAUUCUUAAGACUCACCUGGUCGAUUCUCUAACAAUCAGUGUCUCCAGCACUCUCUUCUUGUGACCACAGGUAUGUUCACCUGGUACCUACCAACCAACCUUCUGGUUUAUUUUCAUGUAAAAAUCUUUUAAGUUUUCCCUUUCCUACUUAUACACCUCUAAACAUAAAUAUCUAUGCCAAUUAAGAUGGUAAAUUAGCAUUACCAGUUAUGCUCAUAAGUACUACAAAUCAUACAACCAACUUUUACAUGCAGUUUACCAUAAAAGUAGUUUGUAAAGUUUAAUACAAAAGUUAUUAUCAAAACGAGUGCUAAUAAUUGACUUAUUUCAGCAAGCAUUUACUGAUCACCUACUAUGUUCUGGGAACUGUUCCCCACAAAGGGAAACUCAGAGACACAACACUCUCUGGCAUAAAAGUUUACAAUCAACAGACGAAUGAGGGGUUCACAAGCAUUCAAAGCAUAAUGACUGGUGCCACCAUUCAAAAACAGCAAGGGUUGUGCGAGCACAGAAGAGGGAAUAAUUCCAGCAAUGCAGGUGGCUUUGAAAGUGGAUCUUAAACGGCGAAGGCUAUUUUAAUGGUAGACAGAAAUUCAUUUACAAGUAGCCUUGCUCCUCUGCAAACUAUCAAAAAGGAAAUAUGUCAAUCAUGGAGCUAGCUAAUAUCCAAGUGAUACAUGUUGGAUAAAUUAACCCAAUGAAAAAAUUUUAUAUUCUUAUAAAAUACGCUAUCUUCACAUCUUAAAAAUACACUAUGUAUUGAUUUGUCAAAGGUAGACCUUACCAACUACUUUAUCAUACUCACUAGUUUUGAAAUCAAACUAUACAUAAUAAAUACCUGGAGGAAGGGCUAUGAGUUACUCAUUUUUGUGUUCCUUCUCGAUGCCCUGCUCAUAGUAGGGGUAUCUGGGCUCCUGUGGUUGUAAAUGACAGAAAACCAGCAGGACCGCAUGAAGCAGUAAGGGAAUUUUCUCAGUUCCUGUACCAAACAAUAAAAGGGGCACAAUGGAGCCAGCAUCAGAUAGGAUGUCGAAAGCACCAUCAGGGCUCUCUCUCAUUCUCCUCUAGUCUCUUUCUCUCUGGCCACUUUUCCCAGGAGGCUGAAAACCUGGCUGCAACCGGUUCUGGGUUUUCACUCUCAAUGACUUCCCACUAGAGAAAGGUCUUUCUGCCUCUGAUUGGCCUGUUGGAGGUCAUGUUCCCCUUCCUGGGCCUAUCACUGAAGCCAGGGGGCGGGUUCUACAAUGGGCUCAAUGUGGGUCACAGAAGAAAGGAGAGGGAAGAGGUAUCAGGAAGACAAAGGCAAUGACCUCUAUAACGUUUAAUAAAGGGUUCUUCUGCCGCAUAUCAGGCUGUUCUGAACCAAUUUUAUGAUGCCAAGCAUAAAACACAUCCGCAUUUAGGCCGGUUUUACUUGCCAAGUUUUGAAUUGUCCCUUUGUAGCCUGAAAGCCUUAGCACAUCCCCCACACCAGGUCUGCCUGAAACUAAGAGACCUCUCGCGUCUUCAGGGCUCCAAGUCCACAGUCUGAGGUAAACGCACGGCUGGCAAUCGGCUCCACAGGACAGAGACUUAGAGAUUACAGUUAUCAAAACAUGGAUGCCCAGGACGCCCAACCGCUGUCAGCGUGGCCAGGAAGAAAAUGUAAGAACUGCUAGUUAUUUAAAACUGCCAGGGUGGAGAAGACAACCAGAUUCCUGUCACCAGUCCAGCUCGGGAAAAGGUGCCGCAAAGGCAUGAGGAAAUGAGAGGAAGUCUGGAGAGCAGAAGAGUCCACAGACAGAGAGCCGGGGGCUCCUGGGUCAAGACGAGCGUUUGGCACACAGCAAAAUUGUGAAAUCAUUCUCCCAAAUGACAGUGAGUAAAAUAAAGGUAACACAAAUGAACACAUCAUUCCUCUGCAGAGUGAGUUCCAAAUAGUAGCUAAGUCAGUUUCAGUAUUCUCAUAUAAAGUAUUUAGAUCUAACAUGGCCGAGGAGCUGCCCGAGCUCCUUACUCAAGCUGC
Non-coding RNA from Callithrix jacchus (white-tufted-ear marmoset), 6118 nucleotides. The record is from RefSeq and is a predicted model, not a curated record. NCBI's taxonomy places the organism in Eukaryota, Metazoa, Chordata, Mammalia, Primates, Cebidae.